UGGCCCCGCCGCGACUGGCGUUCGGAUGGGUGACCAUCAGGGAGCGGCACCUCCUCCGGGGCGCGCUCCGGACACUUUUCCCGCCGCACGCCUGGGCUGGAACG
This 104-nucleotide non-coding RNA is filed under the name Rathayibacter sp. Leaf296. RNAcentral describes it as "ZMP/ZTP riboswitch aptamer (pfl RNA motif)". It matches the Rfam family "ZMP/ZTP riboswitch aptamer (pfl RNA motif)". Rfam says of the family: Previously known as pfl RNA. ZMP is also known as AICAR. Lineage: Bacteria; Bacillati; Actinomycetota; Actinomycetes; Micrococcales; Microbacteriaceae. The record is from Rfam by way of RNAcentral. RNAcentral also lists the same sequence under 1 other name.